RNAcentral lists this long non-coding RNA (5924 nucleotides) under Solanum tuberosum (potato). RNAcentral's name for it is "long non-coding RNA (STUB_LNC011291)". Lineage: Eukaryota; Viridiplantae; Streptophyta; Magnoliopsida; Solanales; Solanaceae. The record is from RNAcentral.
UCCCAAAAGUGGACCAAAUGAACAAACUUAUCUCGUAUUAAAAAAAAAACUAGACAAAAACUAUAUACAUAAAGAGAUAGGCUGGACUAGGACUCCAUAGACUCACCCUCAGUCUCUAAAGAUCCCCGUAGCUGGACCGAAGCAAUGUUGGUGGUUGGCGCUCGAAUCUACAUCAAGAAAACAUAUCCAGAGUGCAAUAUGAGUACCAAAACAAUGGGUACCAAGUAGGCAUCAUAGGCCGAGUGAACUUGUAAACUAAAGUCAAUAUGUAAAGCAAGAAAGUAAAAGCAACUAGAGGUCACAAGAAGAAAAGUGGAAACGUAACAGAAAUCCAAACUAUAAAGCACACGAGUCUAGAAAAGGACAAACACUAAAGUAUACAACUAACUAUAACCUAAUUGGACCCCAUAAGUCCACAAUUGAAAGUAAAUAACUCAAACAAACCCCAUAAGCCCGUUGGGUACAAAGAAGAGCUAAGGAAACUACUAGCUAAGUCAAGAGAUAUUCCAGGACAAUAACGGCCCUCUACGAACUCGAACCGCAGUAAAGGCAACCUGAAGAACCCAAUAGAAUCACCUAGUUAGGACUUGAACUCGACUAAUAGAAGUGACACCCAUACUUUAACCAUGGCUAAUAGGGCUACACACGGGCCUCGAACCCAGGAUGAUAAGCAUGCACACGAAGCUUGAACCACAACUAGUGAUCAAGAACACAUAUCUUAAACUGUGAAUAAUGAACUUUGAAAGUCUCAGAAUUCCUGCUCUUCCUUAUGCAAGACCACAACAUAGACCACAACCAUCUUUUGAGCCACCAAGGAUGCAUUCUAGCUCCAAACCAAAGACCCGAUCUAAUAUAGCUUACAAGGUUCGAAAUUGCAAAAGAACCCAUCCGGAUCGAAUCAUAAGGGAAGUUAUGGAUGGACGGUCACAAAGGCUAAGUUAUCACCUAGCUAAGGAUCAUACUAUCAUACUCAAGUUUGCUAUAUUAGUCUAUAAAUGGAGCUAAGUCAUCCGAAGAGACAAUGGAGAAUCUUUAAGGCCUAUCGGCUCCAAAAUGCAACUCUAAGUCAAUCAUUAGCCAUGCCUAGGCUAAGGCCAAGAACAACUAUCAAUAUCAACAUCAAUAACAAUACGAAAACCACAAGGCAUGAUAUAAUCAACACAACCAAAAUAGGCAUGCUCAAUUCCCUGAAAAACCCAAAAAUACGCCUAAGGCAUGAUUUCUAAUCACUAAACAUGAUACAACUACAGGAACAUCCCAAAUCUAGCUAAACAACAUGCAUUCACAAUCACAAGCUCAAUCUAAAGACCAAUAAGUCAUAGCCUACCUCAAAGUUUGACCGCGCGCAUUUCAAAUUCACAAUUUCAGAGUUUUCCCCUUUUGAACAACCUUCGAUCGUUUCCACACUAGAAAAAAUAAGAUCACAACGUCAAUACAGACGUUUAGACACAAAAAACGAAAUAAUUGAAGAUGGGCUCAAAAUCGAGUCAAAAUGGAAUUAUGGGACCCAUACUGAGAAUUAGAGCUAUCAAAAUGGGCUGGCCCAACCCAAUCUAACCCUAAUGGGCUAGGGAGUUAAAUGGGCUAGGAUGGGCUGGCCCUUUUAAUUAAAGGGCCGAUAAAAUAGCAGCCCAACCCAGCCCUAGGUGGACCACCGGUUAGGACGGGCUAGCCCUUCAACCAAAAAAUGGACAAUAUUGGUCUCUUAGAAAGAGUAUCGAACAUUGAUGUUUGAUUAAUACAACAUCAAUACAUACAAAAAUUCAUCCAUAAAUUACGCAUACUUUGGUGAAUACUUACAUAAUAGCCAAGAUACAACAUUCAUAAGAUUCAUCCAAGCAAAAAACAUAACAUGAUCACUAUUUUCAUAAACGAGACAAUAAAGGAGAAGUGGAAAAUUAAGCGUAAAAACAAAAGUAAAAGAGGUCAAAGAUUCAUAGUUAUAAUGGAGUAAUGUAUUUAGGAUAAUAAGAAAAUUUAGUGGGCUAAUGGCCCUAAAAUGUAAAAGAUAUGCAAAGAAGUUAGACUUGAUUUUAUAUUUAUAUUUUAAAAAUAUUUAUUGACAAAAUCUUAACAAAUAAAUCACUACUUAAAAUAUAUAUAGUAAACAUUUUUAAAAUUCACAGCCCACGGGCCGGCCUCUGAGGCUUGCUGGUUGGGCCUAUGAGGCUAGCGGGCUAAAUGAGGCUGGGCUAAAAAGCCUCGCUCCUAAAUGGGAUGAAAAAAUUAAGCUCAACCCCACUUAAUUCAAGGGUUAGGUUGGACCGGCCUAGCGGGCCAAGAUUAUUUUGACAGCUCUACUGAUAAAUCUGAAAUUGGCUACGUCAAAUGAUCCUAAAUGGAUCAAGGAAAUUUUUCUCCAAAAAUAGGCACCAUCUGAGCCUUAAAACAGAACCAAACAACACAUUCAAUAAUAAGAAUCAAAAGCCACUAUUAAAGUUUACGGAGGGAGGUUUGGGACGAGAAUUUACCUCCUAAACGAGUUCCCCGUGCCUCUCCAAUGGUCCCAACACAUAGCCUCUCAAAUUUCCGACAAAUAGCAAUAAGAAUCACUCAAAUUGGAGCUCUAGAACCCGAGACAUCAACCUUUUAAUUUUGGAAGUUAACCUGAAAAACGGGACUAGUCUUAUUUAAUAGGCCAGUAAAUUGACUUCUGCGGAAGUGUGCGCCAGUACGCGAUCGCGGUGGUCAACAGGGUCAGGUUAACCCCGACCCUUCUUUGCAACUGCGGGACACUAUUCGUGAAUGCAAAGGGUUGAGGUCACUCCUAUCCGCGAUCGCAGAGCCCAUCUCACGAAUGCGGUGACCAAAGCACUUGGUUUUCGCGAAUGCGACACCAGAUUCACAAAUGCAGAGAACAAAGUCUCUGCUCUCCGUAAAUGUGGCGCGAGGUGCGUGAAUGCGAAGAACAAAUGGUGUUGCACCAGCCAACAUUUGGAAAGUGCAAAAUGCCUCAACGGGGGCUCGACAUUCGUUCGGAACUCUAUGUACGCAAAUGGAAGAUUCUAUCCAACCAAUUUCAAUAUUUCGUACUCAGCAAAUAUGUUGAAACUUUCAACCGAGGUCUUCUGGGUGAAAAGUGGGUCCCACUUCCAAACUCCAUUUUAAGCCAAAUUUCAUAAGGUAGCUCGAAAUGAGCUUGGAGGCCUCGAGACCCUAACCAAAGGUUCUUCUAGACCAAACUCGACGUUCUAGAGCUAACAAAGUCAUCAUAAUUGUAUUUGCGGUCAUUUACCUGAAGUUUUGACCGAAGUCAACAAUUUAAACUUCAAAAGCUCCAAAACCCAUAAACUUACAAAAAUAAUCAAAUGAGCGACCAAGUGACCGAACUGUCAGUCCCAACAAGUCAUAGAUGACUUGUGGUUUCUAUAGAAGAUCUAAAUGCCGAAACACCGAAUACCACAAAAUUAAGUAAAUUCAACUAUAAUCUUGUGAUUAAUGAAAUUAUUCAUGUAGGAAUUAUUUUUUAUAUCCAUUGGUAAAUAUGAAUGAAGCCCCAAAGGGUGACAUGGAUAUUGAUAAUGAAGGUCUUAAUUCUUGUAUUAUACCAUGGGGCUUUGAUUUUCGUAAAGGUGUAGACCUCUCAGAUAUAUUUAGUUUUCCUUAAGAGCAACCUGCGAACAACAACAUAAUCCUAGCACUACAAUAGAAAAUGCUUCUCCAAAUCAUCAUCAAAACUUGAGAAUGUUUCAGAAUUACCUUAUGUUAUCUUAAAGAGAAACAAUAUAAUCAUUACACUUGUGCAACCAAACAGUACACUUGUAACAACACUGUGGAAGGUCAACGUAGUUACUCGGUUGUGUAAUUAUUAGGCUGGUAAUUACUACUCUAAUAAUUACACCAAUUUCAAUUACCUGAUGGUUUUCCAAACAUACCCUUAGUUUUCUUUUAGAGCAACUUGUGAAUAACAACAUAAUCCUAGCACUCUAAUAGAAAAUGCUUCUCCAAAUCUUCAUCAAAAUUUGGGAAUGUUUCAGAAUUACCUUAUGUUACUCUUAAAGAGCAACAACACAUUACCACCACCAAUAUUCCUAGAAGUUCAUGAAUAGAUAAGAACUCUUCAAGAAUAACUUAUCCAAUUACCCUUAAUAAGGAUGAUGACUACUCAUUAUCGUAUAGAAAAUAUGUAGUCAUUGUCCUUAUCAAGGGUAAUAUGAUAAGUUAUUCUUGAAAAAUUAUUAUAUGUUGAUGCGCUACUAGGAACAUUGGUGGUGGUGAUGGGGUGUUGUCUUUAAGAAUAAUAUUAGGUAAUCCUAAAAUAUUCUCAGAAUUUUGAUGGUGCUUUGGAGAUGCAUAUUCUAUUCAAGUGGUAGGAAUAUAUAUGUUGUUGUUCACAUGCUGCUCUUGGAGAAGUUUAAUGUUUCUGCCCGAAUCGGAUCUUCUGAGGAACAUAUCAAGAGAGAAUUGGAUUUGGUUAGACAAUGUGUGGUUGGUAAACUCCGACCAUUAUCGUCUCAGUGAAGUAGCUCAUAGGUAUGGGAUACGAACGAUUAAGAGUUCUUGCUUAAAAAAAGGUAUGUAUUAACUAAGAAUGGAAUCUAUCCUGACUUUCAAGUAACGCUUGAUUGAGGGAUGAACCCCGAAUCUUCACACAUUCUUCCAUCACCAUUUGGAAACUUUGAACCUAUUGUUUCAAAUGGAUCACUACAUUUCUUAGAGAAAAAUUAGAAACGGCCUUGUGUGUCCAUAACUCAAAAUAGAUGACCCAAUGACCAUCGCUCGACUAAACACCAUAGUCACCAGGUGCAUAUGAGCUACUAAGGAGUAAACAACAGUAAAUGGAGAACCCUAAAAAGGAAUUAAAUCUAAAAAUUAGAAAGUCCACCAAAAAAAAUAUAUAAACAAUCAAUCAAGGGGGAAAUGGUGAAAAGAUCAAAUAAGGCAUAGACAAUUAAGCAUUUGCAAAAGGAAAAAGCAGAGGUGACAACUACUUGAUAAAUUUUAACUUUGAUAUUAUAUAUCCAUCAAACUAUCAGAUGCAAGACAACUUGUUCUAUCAAUAAUAUAACUUUAUGGGAAUAUAUAAAUUAUUUAUCAGGUCAACAUUAUUAGAAAAUUAAAACAAUCAAAUCUAAUUUACUUAAUUAGUAGUAACUCUAAUGAACCAAAUUUCUCAUCAGAAAGAGACUAUUGACAUCAGUACAAUAUAAACAAAGGAGAAAAAUGACCACAGACAUUUUUUGAUGAAACACAAGGAAUAUACAUGUGAUAUGGUGCUAUUGAUAAAUUAGUUUUAGUUUAUUAAAAUUAAACACUAAUUAAGGCUACCACGUUAUUUUUAAGAGUUAAUUUUAAUAAAAUACUGCGUCAUUUUUUAAUGUAGGUCAUACCAUUUCUGCUAUUUCUUAAGAUAGAAAUGGUUUAAGAAUAUAUAUCUUACCAAAUGUAAAUACUAAAUCCUAUAAAAAUAAAAUGAACCACUCGUUACUGAUAUUUUAAAUUUUUGGAUUGGGAAAGCUGAAUUGUAUAUAUCUCAAUUAUUAAAUGUUGAAUUAACAACUCAUUCUUUAGAAAGAUUAUAUUUUGGAUCUAAGAAAGAUUUAAGUUUAAAGACAUAAUAUUAGUCAAGUAUCUAUUAGAUUAGAUACAUCGACUAAAAAUGAAAUGUUUUUUAAAGUGUGAAUCUUUUAAAGAGAAUGAAGUAUUUGCAAGAGAUGGUUCAUUAAAGCACUAAGGAAUGAAUGAAAGUACAUCAUCAAAUAAAGAAAUGAAAAAUAAAAGAAAGAACUUACAACGUGGUGACUCAUUGAUUCAAUUAUGAAAAGUCCAUAAAAAGGAUUUAUGCUGGAAUUGAAUUCUGUCGUUGUCAUUGUAAUUAACAUCCUCUGCAGUGUUAUGAAUACAUUUCAUCUCAGCCGCAAUAGGUUGAGUUGUGUUUAGAAUGGGUGAAUGAGAGAUUGUUAAAAACAUUAUUUUUAUAGGAC